Molecule: ribosomal RNA, 799 nt
Filed under: Hypomyces hubeiensis
Lineage: Eukaryota; Fungi; Ascomycota; Sordariomycetes; Hypocreales; Hypocreaceae
Description: partial large subunit ribosomal RNA
Rfam family: Eukaryotic large subunit ribosomal RNA
Source: RNAcentral
CGGCAACAGCUCAAAUUUGAAAUCUGGCCCCUCGGGCCCGAGUUGUAAUUUGUAGAGGAUGCUUUUGGUGCGGUGCCGCCCGAGUUCCCUGGAACGGGACGCCAUAGAGGGUGAGAGCCCCGUCUGGCUGGCCACCAAGCCUCUGUAAAGCUCCUUCGACGAGUCGAGUAGUUUGGGAAUGCUGCUCUAAAUGGGAGGUAUAUGUCUUCUAAAGCUAAAUAUUGGCCAGAGACCGAUAGCGCACAAGUAGAGUGAUCGAAAGAUGAAAAGCACUUUGAAAAGAGGGUUAAAUAGUACGUGAAAUUGUUGAAAGGGAAGCGCUCAUGACCAGACUUGGGCUUGGCGAAUCAUCCAGCGUUCUCGCUGGUGCACUUUGCCUCGUCCAGGCCAGCAUCAGUUCGUCGCGGGGGAAAAAGGCUUCGGGAACGUGGCUCCUCCGGGAGUGUUAUAGCCCGUUGCAUAAUACCCUGCGGUGGACUGAGGUUCGCGCAUCUGCAAGGAUGCUGGCGUAAUGGUCAUCAGCGACCCGUCUUGAAACACGGACCAAGGAGUCGUCUUCGUAUGCGAGUGUUCGGGUGUCAAACCCCUACGCGUAAUGAAAGUGAACGCAGGUGAGAGCUUCGGCGCAUCAUCGACCGAUCCUGAUGUUCUCGGAUGGAUUUGAGUAAGAGCAUACGGGGCCGGACCCGAAAGAAGGUGAACUAUGCCUGUAUAGGGUGAAGCCAGAGGAAACUCUGGGUGGAGGCUCGCAGCGGUUCUGACGUGCAAAUCGAUCGUCAAAUAUGGGCAUGGGGGCGAA